This 222-nucleotide ribosomal RNA is filed under the name Vibrio parahaemolyticus. Its description in RNAcentral is "partial 16S ribosomal RNA". It matches the Rfam family "Bacterial small subunit ribosomal RNA", at positions 1 to 220 of the family's 1533-position model. The record is from RNAcentral. Lineage: Bacteria; Pseudomonadati; Pseudomonadota; Gammaproteobacteria; Vibrionales; Vibrionaceae.
AAAUUGAAGAGUUUGAUCAUGGCUCAGAUUGAACGCUGGCGGCAGGCCUAACACAUGCAAGUCGAGCGGAAACGAGUUAUCAGAACCUUCGGGGGACGAUAACGGCGUCGAGCGGCGGACGGGUGAGUAAUGCCUAGGAAAUUGCCCUGAUGUGGGGGAUAACCAUUGGAAACGAUGGCUAAUACCGCAUAAUGCCUACGGGCCAAAGAGGGGGACCUUCGG